GUUAGCUGGAAAUAGGACAUCAGAGAAGAACAUUCAACAUCAAAAGAAAAUGGACAAAUCCUACAAAUAGUCAUACAUUUGAAAAAAAAAUAUUUUUCUCAGCUUGUGGCAGAUCAGGCUACAGUGUAGAAGACAAUAGCUGUGUCAUAUGUUGAUCUGAGUAUGUGGCAUCCAAGGCUCCUUUUCAAGUCCUCCUUGAGCUGUCCUCAGGGGAGAGAGUGACUCUCUUGUCCCCUGAAGAGUCACUUCACCCAACAAGGGACAGGUGGCAUGCUGCCCAGCAAGGCACAAAGCACAGUGCGAAUGCCCACCUCAUCUCAGCUAACUUUGAAGGAGGCCUUCUCCAGAGAUGGAUCUUUUCAUAGCCACAAAGGGCCACACGGUGCAACCAGACUGGUCCCUGGACCAUGACUCAGGAGCUUUGGGUUCCAGUUGUGGAAGUCCUGUUAAUGCGUUCCGUGACCUUAAGCAAGUCAACAACUCACUAUGGGUCAGUUUUCACUCCAGCAAAGCAGAGAUAUCAACGUUCACUAAAUGUAACAGAGAGUUUAGAGAAUAAGGGACAUUGUAUUAAGCAGUCUGCUUAUAUAAGGUCACCUAUCAGAGCCAAAUUUGGAGAUCCACCUGCUGAGUACCAGAAGUUACGUGGUGGUUUGUGUCCUGCAUAAGGAGGAGGAGGGUGGAAAGAUGUCAUAAGUUGAUGGUUAACUUCUGUGUCGGCUUGACUAGUCUGAGGGAUAUCCAGAGAGCUAGUAAAGCAUGAUUUCUGGGUGUGUUUGUGAGGGUAUUCUGGGAGUGAUUGGAAUUUGACUCAGUAGACUAAGUAAGUAAGACCACCCUCACCAUUGUGGGUGGGCAGCAUCCAAUCUGUUGAGGUACCAGUUAGAAUCAAGACAGGGGAAGAGUGAUUUCAUUGCCUGAUUGGGCUGGACAUCCAUCUUCUUCUACUUUAGAUAUAGGUGCCUCUGUUUCUCAGGCCUUAGGACUUGGACUAGAUGACACCAGCAGCUUUCCUGGUUCCCUGGCUUGCAGAUGCAGAUCAUGGAACUUUCUGGCCUCUAUAAUCAUGUGAGACAAUUCCAAUAAUAUACUCCCUGUUUUAGACCUGCAUCCAUCUACCUACCUAUCAACUAUCUCCGUUUGUUGACCUCCCAGUUGGUUCUGUUUCCCUGGAGAACCCUAACAUUUACCUAACUGCAAGAGACUGAUGGCACAGGUGCCUAGAAUUUGGACUGACGGAGCUCAUUCUGACUGCUCAAUACAAUAGUGACUGAUUUAUUUCCUUGGAUUCCUUGACCAAAGAAAGUUAUCUGCUUGGUGUGGGUAACAUGUCCAGAUGCACCACAAGGAUUAUGCUACUCAAGGGCCUGUUUGUGCUCACAUGCAUCUCUUCUUCCUCUGCUCCAUACAGACAGAACUACAUUUCCAAGCAUCUGGGUAGGUUUGGCCAAUGAGAAUAAGUGAGAGAAUAGAGGGUGAGAGAAGGGAGACCCAGAGUAUUCGCCUGGUAGAUUUUUUUUUCUAAUUAGCUGCAUCUUUUUGUGUGUGUGGUAUCCCCCACAGAACUUUCAGACUCUGGCAACCACAUCUUCUUCCAUUGCUCCCCAAGUUCUAGGAGUAGUAUCUGCUUGCUUUGUCUCUAACCUGUCUCCCGUUUGCUUUCCAGCUCUUCCAUUCCUCUGUCAUAAAUUCCCUGAAUUAAAUCCCCUCAGUUUGAAAGACCUAGAAUGCUAUAGAGGGAACAGCUCAAUGCUACUAGAGGGAACAGCUCCUGUCAUCUCUUUGCACACAGCAGGGACCCAGUGAAUGCUUAUCCAAUGGACCAGGAGCAAGUGGCCUAGGUUGCAGUUUCU
This 1853-nucleotide long non-coding RNA is filed under the name Marmota monax (woodchuck). Lineage: Eukaryota; Metazoa; Chordata; Mammalia; Rodentia; Sciuridae. The record is from RNAcentral.